UACGGGGGGUCCUAGCGUUGUUCGGAAUCACUGGGCGUAAAGCGUUUGUAGGUGGCUUUGUAAGUUGAAUGUGAAAGCCUGGGGCCUAACCUCAGAAGUGCAUUCAAUACUGCAGAGCUUGAGUAUGAGAGAGGAAGAUGGAAUACCUGGUGUAGUGGUGAAAUACGUAGAUAUCAGGUGGAACAUCGGUGGCGAAAGCGGUCUUCUGGCUUAAUACUGACACUGAAAAACGAAAGCGUGGGGAUCAAACAGG
RNAcentral lists this ribosomal RNA (253 nucleotides) under uncultured bacterium. RNAcentral's name for it is "partial 16S ribosomal RNA". It matches the Rfam family "Bacterial small subunit ribosomal RNA", at positions 524 to 776 of the family's 1533-position model. The record is from RNAcentral.